Molecule: ribosomal RNA, 479 nt
Filed under: uncultured bacterium
Lineage: Bacteria
Description: bacterial SSU rRNA
Rfam family: Bacterial small subunit ribosomal RNA
Source: RNAcentral
GAUAAACGCUGGCGGCGUGCCUAAUGCAUGCAAGUCGAACGGGCGUUCUUUCGGGAACGUGACCGUGGCGGACGGGUGAGGAGCACGUGGCUGACCUGCCCUGGUGUGGGGGAUAGUCUCCGGAAACGGAGCGUAAUACCGCAUAAUCUCAAGUAGGGGGACCUGUUUGAGGAAAGCCGCGAGGCGUACCAGGAGGGGGCUGCGUCCGAUUAGCUAGUUGGUGGGGUAACGGCUCACCAAGGCGANGAUCGGUAGCUGGUCUGAGAGGACGAUCAGCCACACGGGGACUGAGACACGGCCCCGACUCCUACGGGAGGCAGCAGCAAGGAAUUUUCCACAAUGGGCGCAAGCCUGAUGGAGCAACGCCGCGUGGGGAUGACGCACUUCGGUGUGUAAACUCCUUUUCGAGGGACGAAGGCAAUGACGGUACCCUCGGAAUAAGGAUCGGCUAACUACGUGCCAGCAGCCGCCGCGGUAAC